This 413-nucleotide ribosomal RNA is filed under the name uncultured bacterium. RNAcentral describes it as "bacterial SSU rRNA". It matches the Rfam family "Bacterial small subunit ribosomal RNA", at positions 505 to 916 of the family's 1533-position model. The record is from RNAcentral.
GUGUCAGCCGCCGCGGUAAUACGUAGGUGGCGAGCGUUGUCCGGAAUUACUGGGUGUAAAGGGCGUGUAGGCGGGGAUGCAAGUCAGAUGUGAAAUACCGGAGCUUAACUCCGGAGCUGCAUCUGAAACUGUGUUUCUUGAGUGCCGGAGAGGAAAGCGGAAUUCCCAGUGUAGCGGUGCAAUGCGUAGAUAUUGGGAGGAACACCAGUGGCGAAGGCGGCUUUCUGGACGGUAACUGACGCUGAGGCGCGAAAGCGUGGGGAGCAAACAGGAUUAGAUACCCUGGUAGUCCACGCUGUAAACGAUGGAUACUAGGUGUAGGAGGUAUCGACCCCUUCUGUGCCGGAGUUAACACAAUAAGUAUCCCACCUGGGGAGUACGGCCGCAAGGUUGAAACUUAAAGGAAUUGACGG